Molecule: ribosomal RNA, 483 nt
Filed under: uncultured bacterium
Lineage: Bacteria
Description: partial 16S ribosomal RNA
Rfam family: Bacterial small subunit ribosomal RNA
Source: RNAcentral
AUUGAACGCUGGCGGCAUGCCUUACACAUGCAAAUCGAACGGUAACGGGCCUUCGGGUGCCGACGAGUGGCGAACGGGUGAGUAAUACAUCGGAACGUGCCCGAUCGUUGGGGAUAACGAGGCGAAAGCUUUCCUAAUCCCGCAUACGAUCUACGCAUGAAAGCCGGGGAGCGCAAGGCCUUGCGCGGACGGAGCGGCCGGUGGCCGAUGAGGUAGGUGGUGGGAUAAAAGCUUACCAAGCCGACGAACUGUAGCUGGACCGCGAGGAUGAUCAGCCACACUGGGACGGAGACACGGCCCAGACGCCUACGGGAGGCAGCAGGGGGGAAUUGUGGAGAAUGGGCGCAAGCCUGAUCCAGCCAGGCCGCGUGCAGGAUGAAGGCCGUCGGGUUGUAAACGGAUUUUGUACGGAACGAAAAGCCUUCUUUUAAUACAGGAGGGUCAUGACGGUACCGUAAGAAUAAGCGCCGGCUAACUACGUGC